Non-coding RNA from Trichuris muris, 47 nucleotides. The record is from Rfam. Lineage: Eukaryota; Metazoa; Nematoda; Enoplea; Trichinellida; Trichuridae.
CAAACGGCCCUUUUCAGGGCCACCAAACAAUGUGCAACCUGAUUAAU